Molecule: long non-coding RNA, 731 nt
Organism: Oxyura jamaicensis (ruddy duck)
Lineage: Eukaryota; Metazoa; Chordata; Aves; Anseriformes; Anatidae
Exons: 3
Source: RefSeq, a predicted model, not a curated record
GGACCAUAGAGAGGUUGGGAGGACCAUAGAGAGGUUGGGAGGACCAUUGACAUGUUGACCAUGGAGACGUUGGGAUGACCAUAGAGACGUUGGGAGGACCAUAAAGACAAUAGGAGGACCGUAGAGACGUCGACCAUCGAGAUGUUGACCAUAGAGACGUUGGGUUGACCAUAGAGACCUUGGGAGGACCAUAGAGACGUUGGGAGGUCCAUAGACACGUUGACCAUAGAGAGGUUGGGAGGACCACGGAGACAUUGGCCAUAGAGAUGUUGACCAUAGAGACAUUGGGUUGACCAUAGAGACGUUGGGCUGACCAUAGAGAUGUUGGGAGGACCAUAGAGAGGUUGGGAGGACCACAGAGACGAUGACCAUAGAGUUGCUGACCAUAGAGACGUUGGGAGGACCAUAGAGACUUUGGGUUGGCCAUAGAGAGGUUGGGAGGACCAUAGAGAGGUUGGGAGGACCAUAGAGAGGUUGGGAGGACCAUAUAGACCUUGGGUUGACCAUAGAGACCUUGGGAGGACCAUAGAGAGGUUGGGAUGACCAUAGAGACUUUGGGUUGGCCAUAGAGACCUUGGGAGGACCAUAGAGAGGUUGGGAGGACCAUAGAGAGGUUGGGAGGACCAUAGAGACCUUGGGUUGACCAUAGAGACCUUGGGAGGACCAUAGAGAGGUUGGGAUGACCAUAGAGACUUUGGGUUGGCCAUAGAGACCUUGGGAGGACCAUAGAG